Molecule: ribosomal RNA, 382 nt
Filed under: uncultured bacterium
Lineage: Bacteria
Description: bacterial SSU rRNA
Rfam family: Bacterial small subunit ribosomal RNA
Source: RNAcentral
GACGAACGCUGGCGGCGUGCUUAACACAUGCAAGUCGAGCGGUAAGGCCCUUUCGGGGGUACACGAGCGGCGAACGGGUGAGUAACACGUGGGUGACCUGCCCUUAGCUCUGGGAUAAGGCCUGGGAAACUGGGUCUAAUACCGGAUAUGACUCCAUAACGCAUGUUGUGGGGUGGAAAGCCUUGUGCGGCUAGGGAUGGGCCCGCGGCCUAUCAGCUUGUUGGUGGGGUGAUGGCCACCAAGGCGACGACGGGUAGCCGGCCUGAGAGGGCGACCGGCCACACUGGGACUGAGACACGGCCCAGACUCCUACGGGAGGCAGCAGUGGGGAAUCUUGCGCAAUGGGCGAAAGCCUGACGCAGCGACGCCGCGUGGGGAUGAC